This 74-nucleotide transfer RNA is filed under the name Candidatus Roizmanbacteria bacterium RIFCSPHIGHO2_01_FULL_37_16. RNAcentral's name for it is "tRNA-Ala". It matches the Rfam family "tRNA". From Rfam's summary of the family: Transfer RNA (tRNA) molecules are approximately 80 nucleotides in length. RNAcentral also lists the same sequence under 2 other names. The record is from RNAcentral. Lineage: Bacteria; Candidatus Roizmaniibacteriota.
GGGCCUGUAGUUCAGUCGGCUAGAACAUCGCAUUUGCAAUGCGAAGGUCACCGGUUCGAGCCCGGUCAGGUCCA